GGUGUCGUGGUCGAGUGGUUUUCAGGCGCAGCUCUGCAAAAGCUGAGACGGCAGUUCGAGUCUGCCCGACACCU
RNAcentral lists this transfer RNA (74 nucleotides) under Ktedonobacteraceae bacterium. Its description in RNAcentral is "tRNA-Cys". It matches the Rfam family "tRNA". Rfam says of the family: Transfer RNA (tRNA) molecules are approximately 80 nucleotides in length. Their secondary structure includes four short double-helical elements and three loops (D, anti-codon, and T loops). The record is from RNAcentral. Lineage: Bacteria; Bacillati; Chloroflexota; Ktedonobacteria; Ktedonobacterales; Ktedonobacteraceae.